RNAcentral lists this non-coding RNA (21 nucleotides) under Caenorhabditis elegans. The record is from RNAcentral. Lineage: Eukaryota; Metazoa; Nematoda; Chromadorea; Rhabditida; Rhabditidae.
UGAAGAAUGUAAAUGGAGAAA